Molecule: ribosomal RNA, 698 nt
Filed under: uncultured archaeon
Lineage: Archaea
Description: bacterial SSU rRNA
Rfam family: Archaeal small subunit ribosomal RNA
Source: RNAcentral
AACACGUAGCUAAUCUACUCUUAGGUGGGGGAUAAACUUGCGAAAGUGAGGCUAAUACCCCAUAGCUGUUAGAUGCUGGAAUGCGCUAACAAUUAAAGCUCAGGCGCCUAAGAAUGGGGCUGCGGCGUAUCAGAUAGUUGUGAGUUUAAAAUACUCACAAGUCUAUAACGCGUAGGGGCCAUGAGAGUGGGAGCCUCGAGAUGCCUUCUGAGACAUGAAGGCAGGUCCUACGGGACGCAGCAGGCGCGAAAACUUUCCAAUUCAUUAACGUGUGAGAAGGGAACCUUGAGUGGCUAUACAUUGUAUAGCCUUUUCUUUAGCCUAAAAAGCUAGAGGAAUAAGUGGUGGGUAAGACAGGUGCCAGCCGCCGCGGUAAUACCUGCGCCACGAAUAGUGAUCACGAUUAUUGGGUCUAAAGCGUCCGUAGCCGGUUUAGCAAGUUCCUGGUGAAAUCUGGCAGCAAACUGUCAGGCAUGCUGGGAAUACUACUAAACUUGAGAUCGGGAGAGGUUGGAGGUAUUCCAUGGGUAGGGGUUAAAUCCUUUAAUCCAUGGAGGACCACCUGUGGCGAAGGCGUCCAACUGGAACGAGUCUGACGGUGAGGGACGAAAGCGUGGGGAGCAAAUUUAAUCUAUUGACGUUAAGAAUGAUAGAUUAAAGCUUUAUAGCGGAUUAUAUACCCGUGUAGUCCACGCUGC